Molecule: small RNA, 1340 nt
Filed under: Caenorhabditis elegans
Lineage: Eukaryota; Metazoa; Nematoda; Chromadorea; Rhabditida; Rhabditidae
Description: Unclassified non-coding RNA Y76B12C.16
Source: RNAcentral
CCACCACUGGUCCGUUCGGAUCCAUCAAACAGAUGUGCAGCGUGUCUUGUCUACGGAAAACAUAUAGCAAUUCUUCCAUUUCAUGAGAAUUCGAAAAGAAUUCAUAGUUAUGUUAUUCCACUGAAACAAAUCGAUCCACGGCUGGAUAAUAUUGCUGAUAUGGUAUUUUUGGAUGGAUAUUAUGAGCCGACAAUUUUAUUCCUUUAUGAACCAAUUCAAACUACUCCUGGAAGGUAAAAAUUGAUUUUAUUUUUGAAUUCAGCUCGCCGAGAGCUUUAAAAUAAGUAUAAUCAUGACCAGGUUCUGGUGAUUUUGGGUCCCGUCACGAAAACUACAGUAACCUUCGUGGCGGGACCCAAAAUUUCAAACUUAAUGGAGCCUAGUCAUGAUUAUACUUAUUUUAAAGCUCUCGGUGAGGUGAUUCUAUAUUACAAUAUUAAAAUGUUGAAUUCCGAAAUUUAAUACAAAUUUCUGGGUCUCGACGCGAAAUUUUCAAAAAAUUGAUUUUCCAAAAUUGUUUUAGAAAAUUGAAAAAUUCAGGUUUUAUCUGAAUUCAGCUCACCGAAAGCUUUGAUUUGAGUAUAAUCAUGACUAGGUUACGUUGAUUUUAAAAAAUUUUGGGUCUCGCCACGAAGGUUACUGUAGCUUCGUGGUGGGACAUGAAAAUUGGCUGAAAAUUGAGCAGUUCUGGCCUGAAAUUAGCGAAAACUACGAAAAAUUUGAAUUAUUUUGGCUCGUCAAUACUUGCAAUCGAUUAUUUCUUAGUUUUUCGGGUACCGCCACGAAGCUACAGUAACCUGCGUGGUGGGACCCGAAAUUUCAAAACUAAUGGAAUAUAGUCAUGAUUAUACUUAAAUGAAAGCUCCCAGGCGAGCUGAAUUCGAAUUUUUUAGUUUAAAAAACCCAAAAAAAAAAUUGAAUUUCAGAGCCUGCGUCCGUUACGAUACAAUGUGCAUAAUGGGUGUCUCCGUGAACAUUGUCGAUCGUCAAUUUGCAGUCGUCUGGCAAACUGCAAAUCUUCCAAUGGACUGCUCCCAACUGCUCCCAAUCCCAAAACCACUCGGCGGAGCCCUGGUUUUUGGCUCGAAUACAGUAGUCUAUCUGAAUCAGGCGGUACCGCCGUGUGGUCUCGUGCUCAAUUCAUGUUAUGAUGGAUUUACGAAAUUCCCGUUAAAAGAUUUGAAACAUUUGAAAAUGACGUUGGAUUGCUCUACAAGUGUCUAUAUGGAAGAUGGACGAAUUGCUGUCGGCAGCCGCGACGGAGAUUUGUUCUUGUUGCGGUUGAUGACGUCAUCCGGUGGUGGAACUGUCAAAUCGCUGGAGUUUAGCAAAGUUUAUGG